CACAACGAAGCUCCAUUCUCUGUACUGUGCAACGGGCAUGCACGUCGACCGGAGAGCCUGCGCGUCGUGGACUGAAACGGUUCAGCGUGUUGACACUAUGAGCCAGGCCAGCACGAAGAGCAAGGCUUCUGCGGGCAGAACGGAAAGAGAAAGAGUGAACGAAGGACGAGCGUGGAGAGUCGUCACGAGGAGGGCCAAAAAGAACAUCGUGAGGAUUAAAGGGCAUUUUCAUUUAUGAAAGCAACACUCGAUGCUAUCUCGUAAGGCGAGAGGUUUGGCUACGUCGUCACCGCAGCGCUUGAGAUGCCUGAGGACACAUCGCCUCGUCUUAUAGUUCAGUUAAUAGAACAAAGUCAGAAACUUAAUCAUCUAGCUUGUCCAAGAUUUUUUACUUUUACAUGGACCAUUUUGUUGAACGAAGCACCGGAAACUGCAAGUAGAAAAUCAGGUGCUGAGGAUCGAAAGUUGUCAUUCGAAAACGUAGCAAAUGUAUAAGUUGAAUUUAAGUUUCAGAUUCAUUGAAAUAUUUUCUUAGUUUUAGUAUCAGUUGUAAUAUUUGUGGGGAAUAAAAAUUACUGUAUAAGCAUA
This 588-nucleotide unclassified non-coding RNA is filed under the name Venturia canescens. RNAcentral's name for it is "uncharacterized LOC122411684, transcript variant X1". Lineage: Eukaryota; Metazoa; Arthropoda; Insecta; Hymenoptera; Ichneumonidae. The record is from RNAcentral.